This 605-nucleotide ribosomal RNA is filed under the name Acinetobacter sp. R12(2010). Its description in RNAcentral is "bacterial SSU rRNA". It matches the Rfam family "Bacterial small subunit ribosomal RNA", at positions 705 to 1309 of the family's 1533-position model. The record is from RNAcentral. Lineage: Bacteria; Pseudomonadati; Pseudomonadota; Gammaproteobacteria; Moraxellales; Moraxellaceae.
AAUCCCGAUGGCGAAGGCAGCCAUCUGGCCUAAUACUGACGCUGAGGUACGAAAGCAUGGGGGAGCAACCAGGAUUAGAUACCCUGGUAGUCCAUGCCGUAAACGAUGUCUACUAGCCGUUGGGGCCUUUGAGGCUUUAGUGGCGCAGCUAACGCGAUAAGUAGACCGCCUGGGGAGUACGGUCGCAAGACUAAAACUCAAAUGAAUUGACGGGGGCCCGCACAAGCGGUGGAGCAUGUGGUUUAAUUCGAUGCAACGCGAAGAACCUUACCUGGUCUUGACAUAGUAAGAACUUUCCAGAGAUGGAUUGGUGCCUUCGGGAACUUACAUACAGGUGCUGCAUGGCUGUCGUCAGCUCGUGUCGUGAGAUGUUGGGUUAAGUCCCGCAACGAGCGCAACCCUUUUCCUUAUUUGCCAGCACUUCGGGUGGGAACUUUAAGGAUACUGCCAGUGACAAACUGGAGGAAGGCGGGGACGACGUCAAGUCAUCAUGGCCCUUACGACCAGGGCUACACACGUGCUACAAUGGUCGGUACAAAGGGUUGCUACCUAGCGAUAGGAUGCUAAUCUCAAAAAGCCGAUCGUAGUCCGGAUUGGAGUCUGCA